This 70-nucleotide transfer RNA is filed under the name Scinax berthae (dwarf snouted treefrog). Its description in RNAcentral is "tRNA-Val". It matches the Rfam family "tRNA". Rfam says of the family: Transfer RNA (tRNA) molecules are approximately 80 nucleotides in length. Their secondary structure includes four short double-helical elements and three loops (D, anti-codon, and T loops). The record is from RNAcentral. Lineage: Eukaryota; Metazoa; Chordata; Amphibia; Anura; Hylidae.
CAAAGCGUAGCUUAACCUAAAGCAUCUUGCUUACACCAAGAAAAUACCUGUUCGACCCAGGUCGCUCUGA